This 603-nucleotide ribosomal RNA is filed under the name Microbacterium sp. ST12.14/111. RNAcentral describes it as "bacterial SSU rRNA". It matches the Rfam family "Bacterial small subunit ribosomal RNA", at positions 632 to 1233 of the family's 1533-position model. The record is from RNAcentral. Lineage: Bacteria; Bacillati; Actinomycetota; Actinomycetes; Micrococcales; Microbacteriaceae.
ACGGGCAGACUAGAGUGCGGUAGGGGAGAUUGGAAUUCCUGGUGUAGCGGUGGAAUGCGCAGAUAUCAGGAGGAACACCGAUGGCGAAGGCAGAUCUCUGGGCCGUUACUGACGCUGAGGAGCGAAAGGGUGGGGAGCAAACAGGCUUAGAUACCCUGGUAGUCCACCCCGUAAACGUUGGGAACUAGUUGUGGGGUCCAUUCCACGGAUUCCGUGACGCAGCUAACGCAUUAAGUUCCCCGCCUGGGGAGUACGGCCGCAAGGCUAAAACUCAAAGGAAUUGACGGGGACCCGCACAAGCGGCGGAGCAUGCGGAUUAAUUCGAUGCAACGCGAAGAACCUUACCAAGGCUUGACAUAUACGAGAACGGGCCAGAAAUGGUCAACUCUUUGGACACUCGUAAACAGGUGGUGCAUGGUUGUCGUCAGCUCGUGUCGUGAGAUGUUGGGUUAAGUCCCGCAACGAGCGCAACCCUCGUUCUAUGUUGCCAGCACGUAAUGGUGGGAACUCAUGGGAUACUGCCGGGGUCAACUCGGAGGAAGGUGGGGAUGACGUCAAAUCAUCAUGCCCCUUAUGUCUUGGGCUUCACGCAUGCUACAAUGG